RNAcentral lists this ribosomal RNA (250 nucleotides) under uncultured bacterium. Its description in RNAcentral is "partial 16S ribosomal RNA". It matches the Rfam family "Bacterial small subunit ribosomal RNA", at positions 15 to 244 of the family's 1533-position model. The record is from RNAcentral.
GAUCAUGGCUCAGGACGAACGCUGGCGGCGUGCCUAACACAUGCAAGUCGAACGGAACUGUUUUGAAAGAUUUCUUCGGAAUGAAUUUGAUUUAGUUUAGUGGCGGACGGGUGAGUAACGCGUGAGUAACCUGCCUUCAAGAGGGGGGAUAACAUUCUGAAAAGAAUGCUAAUACCGCAUGAUAUAUCGGAACCACAUGGUUUUGAUAUCAAAGGUUUUAUCGCUUGAAGAUGGACUCGCGUCCGAUUAG